Molecule: ribosomal RNA, 245 nt
Filed under: uncultured bacterium
Lineage: Bacteria
Description: partial 16S ribosomal RNA
Rfam family: Bacterial small subunit ribosomal RNA
Source: RNAcentral
AACGUAGGAGGCAAGCGUUAUUCGGAUUUACUGGGCGUAAAGCGCGUGCAGACGGCUUUGCAAGUCGGACGUGAAAUCUCUCGGCUUAACCGGGAGGGGUCGUUCGAAACUGCGAGGCUUGAGGUCGGGAGAGGGAAGUGGAAUUCCCGGUGUAGUGGUGGAAUGCGUAGAUAUCGGGAGGAACACCAGUGGCGAAAGCGGCUUCCUGGCCCGCACCUGACGUUCAGACGCGAAAGCGUGGGGAG